RNAcentral lists this unclassified non-coding RNA (240 nucleotides) under soil metagenome. RNAcentral's name for it is "partial contains 5.8S ribosomal RNA, internal transcribed spacer 2, and large subunit ribosomal RNA". The record is from RNAcentral.
AACCAUUCUCACCUGCGGCUAGACCUGCGGAAGGAUCAUUACCGAGUGAGGGCCCUCCGGGUCCAACCUCCCACCCGUGUUUAACGAACCUUGUUGCUUCGGCGGGCCCGCCUCACGGCCGCCGGGGGGCACCCCGCCCCCGGGCCCGCGCCCGCCGAAGACACCUGUGAACGCUGUCUGAAGUUGCAGUCUGAGACACUAGCUCAAUCAGUUAAAACUUUCAACAAUGGAUCUCAGAUC